UACGUAGGGGGCAAGCGUUAUCCGGAUUUACUGGGUGUAAAGGGAGCGUAGGCGGCUUAGUAAGUCAGAAGUGAAAGCCCGCAGCUCAACUGCGGGACUGCUUUUGAAACUGCCAAGCUAGAGUGUCGGAGAGGUAAGUGGAAUUCCUAGUGUAGCGGUGAAAUGCGUAGAUAUAUGGAAGAACACCAGUGGCGAAGGCGGCCGCCUGGCCUGUUAACUGACGCUGAGGCACGAAAGCGUGGGUAUCGAACAGG
RNAcentral lists this ribosomal RNA (254 nucleotides) under uncultured Eubacteriales bacterium. RNAcentral describes it as "uncultured Clostridiales bacterium partial 16S ribosomal RNA". It matches the Rfam family "Bacterial small subunit ribosomal RNA", at positions 524 to 776 of the family's 1533-position model. The record is from RNAcentral. Lineage: Bacteria; Bacillati; Bacillota; Clostridia; Eubacteriales.